Molecule: antisense RNA, 508 nt
Filed under: Hyalangium minutum
Lineage: Bacteria; Pseudomonadati; Myxococcota; Myxococcia; Myxococcales; Archangiaceae
Description: Saccharopolyspora sRNA 350
Rfam family: Saccharopolyspora sRNA 350
Source: Rfam by way of RNAcentral
UUGACCGUGAACUGCCAGUAGUCCUGCGACUCGAGCAGCGCCUCGUAGCUGUAGUGGUCGCCGUCCGCGAGCACAUCCAUCACCGUCUCGUCGCCGUACUUGCCCGCGCCGAUCUUGUUCACCUUGCCGUGGGCGAUCAGGCAGAUCAGGUCCGCCUCCUUGCCCUUCUCGGUGAUGACCUCGCCGGCCUUGUACUCCUUCUGGACGAAGCGUUCGGCCAGGGCCUGCAGCACCGCGGUGUCCUCGAAGCCGCGCAGCAGCGGCAGCUCGCACAGCUCCUGCGGGAUGACCUGUACCUUCGCGCCCGUGCUGGUGAACGUCACCCGGCCGUCGCCGACGGCAUAGGUCAGACGGCGGUUGACGCGGUAGGUGCCGCCGGACACCUGCACCCAAGGCAGCAGCUUCAGCAGCCACCGCGAGGAGAUGCCUUGCAUCUGCGGAACGGACUUGGUCGUCGUCGCCAGCUGGCGCGCCGCCUCCGUCCCAAGGCUCAGCUGCUGCUUCUCGG